Molecule: ribosomal RNA, 254 nt
Filed under: uncultured bacterium
Lineage: Bacteria
Description: partial 16S ribosomal RNA
Rfam family: Bacterial small subunit ribosomal RNA
Source: RNAcentral
UACGUAGGGGGCUAGCGUCGUCCGGAAUCAUUGGGCGUAAAGAGCUCGUAGGCGGCUCGGUAAGUCAGGUGUGAAAACUCUAGGCUCAACCUAGAGACGCCACCUGAUACUGCUGUGGCUAGAGUCCGGUAGGGGAGCAUGGAAUUCCUGGUGUAGCGGUGAAAUGCGCAGAUAUCAGGAGGAACACCAGUGGCGAAGGCGGUGCUCUGGGCCGGAACUGACGCUGAGGAGCGAAAGCGUGGGGAGCAAACAGG